RNAcentral lists this non-coding RNA (40 nucleotides) under Trypanosoma brucei brucei. The record is from RNAcentral. Lineage: Eukaryota; Euglenozoa; Kinetoplastea; Trypanosomatida; Trypanosomatidae.
AAAAUUACACACAUGAAUACAUAGUACAUAGAAGAUUGAU